This 332-nucleotide long non-coding RNA is filed under the name Homo sapiens (human). RNAcentral's name for it is "HSALNT0312907". The record is from RNAcentral. Lineage: Eukaryota; Metazoa; Chordata; Mammalia; Primates; Hominidae.
CAGUUUCUGUAGAAUUUCCAGGUGGAUAUUUAGCGCCGUUUGAGGCCUAUGGUAGAAAAGGCAAUAUCUUCGUAGGAGGACUAGACAGAAUGUUUCUCAGAAGCUACUUUGUGAUGUGUGGGUUCAACUCACUGAGUUUAACCUUUCUUUUGAUAGACCAGUUAUGAAACACUCUUUUUGUAGGAUCUGCAAGUAAAUAUUUUGACUUUUUUGAGGCCUUCAUUGGAAACGGGGUUUCUUCAUAUAAACCUUGACAGAAGAAUUCUCAGACACUUCUCUGUGAUGUGUGCGUUUAACUCUCAGAGUGCAUCCUUCCUUUUGAUAGAAGAGGG